CCUACGGGUGGCAGCAGUGAGGAAUAUUGGUCAAUGGGCGGAAGCCUGAACCAGCCAAGUAGCGUGCAGGAUGACGGCCCUACGGGUUGUAAGCUGCUUUUAUACGGGAAUAACGCGCCUUACGUGUAGGGCUUUGCAUGUACCUUAUGAAUAAGGACCGGCUAAUGCAGUGCCAGCAGCCAGGGUACUACGGAAGGUCCGGGCUGUAUCCGGAUUUAUUGGGUUUAAAGGGAGCGUAGGCCGCAUGUCAAGCGUGCUGUGAAAUGUCCGGGCCCAACCCGGGCCUUGCAGCGCGAACUGGGGUGCUUGAGUCCGCGUAAAGCAGGCGGAAUUCGUCGUGGAGCGGUGAAAUGCUUAGAUAUGACGAAGAACCCCGAUUGCGAAGGCAGCUUGCUGCAGCGGAACUGACGCUGAGGCUCGAAAGCGUGGGUAUCGAACAGGAUUAGAUACCCUAGUAGUC
This 460-nucleotide ribosomal RNA is filed under the name uncultured bacterium. RNAcentral's name for it is "partial 16S ribosomal RNA". It matches the Rfam family "Bacterial small subunit ribosomal RNA", at positions 338 to 795 of the family's 1533-position model. The record is from RNAcentral.